This 465-nucleotide ribosomal RNA is filed under the name uncultured bacterium. RNAcentral's name for it is "partial 16S ribosomal RNA". It matches the Rfam family "Bacterial small subunit ribosomal RNA", at positions 28 to 507 of the family's 1533-position model. The record is from RNAcentral.
GACGAACGCUGGCGGCGUGCUUAACACAUGCAAGUCGAACGGAAAGGCCCUGCUUGCAGGGUACUCGAGUGGCGAACGGGUGAGUAACACGUGGGUGAUCUGCCCUGCACUUCGGGAUAAGCCUGGGAAACUGGGUCUAAUACCGGAUAGGAGCCAUUUUUAGUGUGUUGGUUGGAAGGUUUUUUCGGGGUAGGAUGAUCUGGCGGCCUAUCAGCUUGUUGGUGGGGUAAUGGCCUACCAAGGCGGCGACGGGUAGCCGGCCUGGGAGGGUGGACGGCCACAUUGGGACUGAGAGACGGCCCAGACUCCUACGGGGGGCAGCAGGGGGGAAUAUUGCACAAUGGGGGCAAGCCUGAUGCAGCGACGCCGCGUGGGGGAUGAAGGCCUUCGGGUUGUAAACUCUUUUCGCUAGGGACGAAGCUUUUUGUGACGGUACCUAGAGAAGAAGCACCGGCUAACUACGUG